This 465-nucleotide ribosomal RNA is filed under the name uncultured bacterium. Its description in RNAcentral is "partial 16S ribosomal RNA". It matches the Rfam family "Bacterial small subunit ribosomal RNA", at positions 338 to 795 of the family's 1533-position model. The record is from RNAcentral.
CCUACGGGUGGCAGCAGUAGGGAAUCUUCCACAAUGGGCGAAAGCCUGAUGGAGCAACGCCGCGUGGGUGAAGAAGGUCUUCGGAUCGUAAAACCCUGUUGUUAGAGAAGAAAGUGCGUGAGAGUAACUGUUCACGUUUCGACGGUAUCUAACCAGAAAGCCACGGCUAACUACGUGCCAGCAGCCGCGGUAAUACGUAGGUGGCAAGCGUUAUCCGGAUUUAUGGGGCGUAAAGGGAACGCAGGCGGUCUUUUAAGUCGGAUGUGAAAGCCUUCGGCUUAACCGGAGGAGUGCAUUGGAAACUGGGGGGUUGGAGUGCAGAAGAGGAGAGUGGAACUCCAUGUGUAGCGGUGAAAUGCGUAGAUAUAUGGAGGAACACCAGUGGCGAAGGCGGCUCUCUGGUCUGUAACUGACGCUGAGGUUCGAAGGCGUGGGUAGCAAACAGGAUUAGAUACCCCUGUAGUC